GACGAACGCUGGCGGCGUGCUUAACACAUGCAAGUCGAACGGAAAGGCCCUGCUCUUGUGGGGUGCUCGAGUGGCGAACGGGUGUGUAAAACGUGAGUAACCUGCACCUGUCUUUGGGAUAACUUCUGGAAACUGGGGCUAUUAUCGGAUAGAAUCUCUUGCUCCAUGGUGGGGGUUGGAAAGUUUCGGCGGUUGGGGAUGGACUAGCGGCUUAUCAGCUUGUUGGGGGGGUAGUGGCUUACCAAGGCUUUGACGGGUAGCCGGCCUGAGAGGGUGACCGGCCACAUGGGGACUGAGAUACGCCCCAGACUCCUACGGGAGGCAGCGGUGGGAAAUAUUGCACAAUGGGCGGAAGCCUGAUACAGCAACGCCGCGUGCGGGAUGACGGCCUUCUGGUUGUAAACCGCUUUCGCCUGUAACGAAGCGUGAGUGACGGUAAUUGGUAAAGAAGCACCGGCUAACUACGUG
This 468-nucleotide ribosomal RNA is filed under the name uncultured bacterium. Its description in RNAcentral is "partial 16S ribosomal RNA". It matches the Rfam family "Bacterial small subunit ribosomal RNA", at positions 28 to 507 of the family's 1533-position model. The record is from RNAcentral.